AUCCUCACCUGUCAGGGGAGAUACCAUGAGCACAAAGGUGGUUUUCCUAGAUUGAGGCUCAUCUAUUGCACCCUGAGUGUGCUGACACCCGAUAUUUCCACAAACAGGGGAGACUCGACUGCAUAAUUUGUGUACAUGGGGGACUGAGUUCGCACUUUCCCUGA
Homo sapiens (human) is the source of this 164-nucleotide small nuclear RNA. Lineage: Eukaryota; Metazoa; Chordata; Mammalia; Primates; Hominidae. The record is from Ensembl.